CCUACGGGUGGCAGCAGUGGGGAAUAUUGGUCAAUGGGCGAAAGUCUGAACCAGCCAAGUCGCGUGAGGGAUGACGGCCCUAUGAGUGGAAAACUCCUUUUAUAUGGGAGUAAAAUGUUCCACGUAUGGGUUCUUGUAUGUACCAUAUCAAUAAGGAUCGGCUAACUCCGCGCCAGCAGCCGCGGUAAUACGGAGGGUCCGAGCGUUAUGCGGAUUUAUUGGGUUUAAAGGGAGCGUAGGGGGAUUGUUAAGUCAGUUGUGAAGGUUUGCGGCUCAACCGUAAAAGUGCAGUUGAAACUGGCAGUCUUGAGUACAGUAGAGGUGAGCGGAAUUCGUGGUGUAGCGGUGAAAUGCUUAGAUAUCAGGAAGAACACCGGUUGCGAAGGCAGUUCACUGGACUGUAACUGACGCUGAGGCUCGAAAGUGUGGGUAGCAAACAGGAUUAGAUACCCCAGUAGUC
Molecule: ribosomal RNA, 460 nt
Filed under: uncultured bacterium
Lineage: Bacteria
Description: partial 16S ribosomal RNA
Rfam family: Bacterial small subunit ribosomal RNA
Source: RNAcentral